RNAcentral lists this small RNA (843 nucleotides) under Bos taurus (domestic cattle). Lineage: Eukaryota; Metazoa; Chordata; Mammalia; Artiodactyla; Bovidae. The record is from RNAcentral.
ACAAACAAACAAACAAACAAAAGAGGAAAUUAGGACACUCAAGAAGACGUCAAGCAUGAUUGGACAUGAAGAGACAGGAGGACACGAGAAUGCAGCUGUCUGCACAUCAAAGAAAGAGACCUGCGGAGGCACCACACUGUCAACACCUUGAUCCUACAUUUCCGGCCUCCAGAACCGGGAGAAAAACGCUUCCUCUUGUUUAAGUCUGUGCUAUUUCUGGUGGCCACCUUAGUACUUUUAACACAUUCUUUACAUCGGGGUCCCUAGAGAGGGCUCACUUCAAGGACAGGUAGGGGGUAUGCAGGUGAUGACUCAGCUCCCAGGUGACUCCCACCCAUCAACAAAUGCCCACCGGCCCAGAUUUUCCAGGAUGCAGCCUGCUCCUGUGGACCACGUCUUGCAGACCACUGCUGCUAAAGGUCCCCGCCCAACUCUUUCUGGCCCCGAUUUCUCUUACUUCUCUCCUAGACUGUGAGGGACAGAACCCCGUGAGAACAGAGCGAGGCCUGUGCUCAAACCACCCUGCAUGUGAAGGGGAGUAUGUGUUUUAUGUGAAAAAAAAAAAGAAGAAGGAAGAGAAACCACUGUUGUCCAGCAGAACACACUGAAGCUUAUCAACAGAUGUACAGAAAAGCCUUCCCAUGUUAGGUUACGAAGAAGCAGAGGACAUGAGUUCAACCUCUUCUGCAGGGAAGGUUUCCAGGAAGGAGGACAGCAGCUUUGUGUCGAUGGCUUGAGAGCAGAUCAAUGUACUGGAAGGCGUUUGGGUCUGCAGCCAGGAAAGGAAUAUGAGUGGUGGGGGGCGGGAGACCCAAGUUCAAUCGGUCUCACGAAUUCCGCUCA